Molecule: ribosomal RNA, 422 nt
Filed under: uncultured bacterium
Lineage: Bacteria
Description: bacterial SSU rRNA
Rfam family: Bacterial small subunit ribosomal RNA
Source: RNAcentral
GGAAUAUUGGACAAUGGGGGCAACCCUGAUCCAGCAAUGCCGCGUGUGUGAAGAAGGCCUGCGGGUUGUAAAGCACUUUCAGUAGAGAAGAAAAGCCUAGGGUUAAUACCCUUAAGUCUUGACGUAACCUACAGAAGCAGCACCGGCUAACUCCGUGCCACCAGCCGCGGUAAUACAGAGGGUGCGAGCGUUAAUCGGAAUUACUGGGCGUAAAGCGCACGUAGGCGGCUUUGCAAGUCGGGUGUGAAAUCCCCGGGCUCAACCUGGGAACUGCAUUCGAUACUGCAUUGCUGGAGUAUGGGAGAGGGAAGUGGAAUUUCCGGUGUAGCGGUGAAAUGCGUAGAUAUCGGAAGGAACACCAGUGGCGAAAGCGACUUCCUGGACCAAUACUGACGCUCAGGUGCGAAAGCGUGGGGAGCAAA